AGCCCGGCCGCCAGCGGCGCUCGCCAAGUUCGGAUCCGCAAGGACCGGGCCAGCGGGACGUCCGCGUGUCAGGGUGCACUUUCUCCGCGGUCGAGUGCUACGACCGGUUUCGAGGCGGUCAGAAGCCCGGCGGAAAGGUAGCGCCGCCCUUCGGGGUGUCGUGUUAUAGGCCGCCGCGGUGGACUCGCCGCGAGACCGAGGACGCUUGCCGCGCCGAGCGGUCCCGGGCCGUCUUGGGAGGUUCGACCUCGGCUGCACUGCUCCGCAGAGCACCGUAACCGCCGCCCUAGCACGGGUCCGGAGACUGCCGGCGCCUCGGGUCAGUAGCG
RNAcentral lists this ribosomal RNA (329 nucleotides) under Corbicula loehensis. RNAcentral describes it as "partial 28S ribosomal RNA". Lineage: Eukaryota; Metazoa; Mollusca; Bivalvia; Venerida; Cyrenidae. The record is from RNAcentral.